Molecule: ribosomal RNA, 467 nt
Filed under: uncultured Chloroflexota bacterium
Lineage: Bacteria; Bacillati; Chloroflexota
Description: bacterial SSU rRNA
Rfam family: Bacterial small subunit ribosomal RNA
Source: RNAcentral
GAUGAACGCUGGCGGCGUGCUUAACACAUGCAAGUCGAACGUGAGGGUGUAGCAAUAUGCCUGAAAGUGGCGAACGGGUGAGUAACACGUAGAUGACCUGCCCUGGAGUGGGGGAUAACCAUUGGAAACGGUGGCUAAUACCGCAUACAUCCAUAUUUCUGGGAAGAGAUGUGGGGAAAGCUCUGGUGCUCUGGGAGGGGUCUGCGUCCGAUUAGCUAGUUGGUGAGGUAAAGGCUCACCAAGGCGACGAUCGGUAGCUGGUCUGAGAGGACGAUCAGCCACACGGGAACUGAGACACGGUCCCGACUCCUACGGGGGGCAGCAGUGAGGAAUAUUGGGCAAUGGGCGAGAGCCUGACCCAGCAACGCCGCGUGGAGGAAGACGGCCUUCGGGUUGUAACUCCUUUUGACAGGGAAGAGAGAGGACGGUACCUGUCGAAUAAGUCACGGCUAACUACGUGCCAGCCG